Molecule: microRNA, 24 nt
Filed under: Gossypium raimondii (Peruvian cotton)
Lineage: Eukaryota; Viridiplantae; Streptophyta; Magnoliopsida; Malvales; Malvaceae
Description: gra-miR8659a
Source: miRBase by way of RNAcentral
AAUUUUUUAAGGUUGUUUGUGGAA